GUGGGGAAUAUUGGACAAUGGGCGCAAGCCUGAUCCAGCCAUGCCGCGUGAGUGAUGAAGGCCUUAGGGUUGUAAAGCUCUUUAGCCGAUGAUUAUAAUGACUGUAGUCGGAAAAUAAGCCCCGGCUAACUUCGUGCCAGCAGCCGCGGUAAUACGAAGGGGGCGAGCGUUAUUCGGAAUCACUGGGCGUAAAGCGUGCGUAGGCGGCUUUGCAAGUUGGGAGUGAAAGCCCAGGGCUCAACCCUGGAAUUGCUCUCAAAACUGCAAGGCUCGAAUUCGGGAGAGGAUAGCGGAAUUGUCAGUGUAGCAGUGAAAUGCGUAGAUAUUGACAGGAACACCAGUGGCGUAAGCGGCUAUCUGGACCGAUAUUGACGCUGAGGCACGAAAGCGUGGGGAUCAAACAGGAUUAGAUACCCGAGUAGUCC
Molecule: ribosomal RNA, 425 nt
Filed under: uncultured bacterium
Lineage: Bacteria
Description: bacterial SSU rRNA
Rfam family: Bacterial small subunit ribosomal RNA
Source: RNAcentral